CCUGUUCGAGCGUCAUUACAACCCUCAAGCUCUGCUUGGUCUUGGGCGCCACCACCUGGUGCGCCUCAAAAACAGUGGCGGUGCGUCUGGCUUCAAGCGUAGUAACAAUCUCGCUCCGGAGCCCAGGCGAGUGCCCGCCAGAACCCCCCCAAUUUAUCAAGGUUGACCUCGGAUCAGGUAGGGAUACCCGCUGAACUUAA
Molecule: unclassified non-coding RNA, 200 nt
Filed under: soil metagenome
Description: partial contains internal transcribed spacer 2 and large subunit ribosomal RNA
Source: RNAcentral